This 381-nucleotide unclassified non-coding RNA is filed under the name Potentilla inclinata. Its description in RNAcentral is "partial contains external transcribed spacer and 18S ribosomal RNA". The stretch from base 328 to 381 matches the Rfam family "Eukaryotic small subunit ribosomal RNA", at positions 1 to 55 of the family's 1831-position model. The record is from RNAcentral. Lineage: Eukaryota; Viridiplantae; Streptophyta; Magnoliopsida; Rosales; Rosaceae.
UUUCUUGUGCUAUACGGAGAUUCCUGUAUUUGCUACCUACGCUUAAAGGAACGGUGCCGCUCGYUACCCUUUCCUUCCCCGAGCAUGCGCUCGUGGGGAGGACAUCGUAGUAGCGCCUGUGCCCCUCGCWUCGAACAUGCCGCAAGGCGCGAACGUUGCGACGGUUCUCGGGUUGCUACUUGAUGGUUCGGAUACGGAACAUUCGGUGGGCUUGGGUGUCUCGACACCUUUCGAUGUCCAAAUUCAAGCGUUUUGUCGCUAGACAUGUACGACUGCCACGCUCGCUGCGGGUCUCCCGCGCGGCGCGUGGCGUCGGCAAAGGAAUGCUACCUGGUUGAUCCUGCCAGUAGUCAUAUGCUUGUCUCAAAGAUAAGCCAUGCA